Non-coding RNA from Pantherophis guttatus, 844 nucleotides. NCBI's taxonomy places the organism in Eukaryota, Metazoa, Chordata, Lepidosauria, Squamata, Colubridae. The record is from RefSeq and is a predicted model, not a curated record.
AAGGAAGGACUCCCUGGAGAAGAAUGCUGGGAAUGAUGGAGGGCAAAAGAAGAAGAAGGGGACGGCAGAAAACGAGGUGGCUGGAAUGGUGAAGAAGAUUGCUGCCGAAUAUUACGACAACCAUCCCUAUCACAAGUCCUGGGGGAUCGUUCUUUGGGAUUUCAUUUUGAGUGAGAGGCUGGGCCCUUUCAGCCACCUGAAGAGAACCUACAAGGAGGAGGAAGAGGAGACACAAUGAGGGUUCCUCUUCCCUCUUCAAGGGGCUCUCCUUCCUCCCCAGAUGCAAGUCCAGGAACCAGGAUCAGAUAAUGGCCUUCAUCAAAACUGCCCCAACAAAAUUCUUUGGGAAAAAGUUACCGAAAACCCAGAGAUACCCAGGCUGGUGAGAUGAUAUCCAGAACCUUCACAUUUAGGAGUCUUGCUGUAGAACUUCACCUGAAAGCCUACAGAAAUGCUGAUGGAUCAGGGUCAGCUUGGACCAAGGUUGUGACUCAAUGCCUUGAGUCACACCCUUGGUCCAAGUUGACCCUGAUCCACAGCAUCGUGAAGUUCUCCCAACCAAAGCUUUUGCAUGUAGAACAGGUGGUCAGCAGUCCAGCUGCAGCCCGUUCGCAAGGCUCCAUUUCUCUUGUGGGCCUUUGCCUGCUGCUGAUCUGAACUUCUCUCCACCCAUUGCUGAAUCCACAGAAGUUGCUGUCUCCCAUGGCCAAGCCUUCUUCUGCCUCCCUGUUCCUCAGCCCUUCCUGUGUGACCCUUUGCAGACUCUGAGUCAUCUGAUUGAAGGCAUCUUUAGGGGUACCUGCGACUUUGCUAUUGAUAUUAAAAGUAUCUUGAGCAUUGAAAA